AAAAAAAAGAAAUAAAAACAAAACAAAAUAAAAGAAAAAAAUUAAAUUAAAGUAAAUGAAAAAAAAGGAAAGAAAAAGUAAAGUAAUAAUUAGGAAUAUAAUAUUAAAUGAGAGAAACAUCUGAAAAAGAAACUAAUACAACAUACGCCAUACGGGGGAAAACAGGGGAUCACUUGUGACCUUGCGUUAAUAGAUGAGCCUAAGUCGGAUUAGCUAGUUGGUGGGGUAAAGGCCUACCAAGGCGACGAUCUGUAGCGGGUCUGAGAGGAUGAUCCGCCACACUGGGGCUGAGACACGGCCCAGACUCCUACGGGAGGCAGCAGUGGGGAAUAUUGGACAAUGGGGGGAACCCUGAUCCAGCCAUGCCGCGUGUGUGAAGAAGGCCUUAUGGUUGUAAAGCACUUUAAGCGAGGAGGAGGCUCUUUUGGUUAAUACCCAAGAUGAGUGGACGUUACUCGCAGAAUAAGCACCGGCUAACUCUGUGCCAGCAGCCGCGGUAAUACAGAGGGUGCGAGCGUUAAUCGGAUUUACUGGGCGUAAAGCGUGCGUAGGCGGCUUUUUAAGUCGGAUGUGAAAUCCCCGAGCUUAACUUGGGAAUUGCAUUCGAUACUGGGAAGCUAGAGUAUGGGAGAGGAUGGUAGAAGUAACAGGUGUAGCGGUGAAAUGCGUAGA
This 672-nucleotide ribosomal RNA is filed under the name uncultured Acinetobacter sp. RNAcentral describes it as "partial 16S ribosomal RNA". It matches the Rfam family "Bacterial small subunit ribosomal RNA", at positions 59 to 694 of the family's 1533-position model. Lineage: Bacteria; Pseudomonadati; Pseudomonadota; Gammaproteobacteria; Moraxellales; Moraxellaceae. The record is from RNAcentral.